This 321-nucleotide long non-coding RNA is filed under the name Citrus x clementina. RNAcentral's name for it is "Citrus clementina (C. clementina) long non-coding RNA (CCLE_LNC004608)". The record is from RNAcentral. Lineage: Eukaryota; Viridiplantae; Streptophyta; Magnoliopsida; Sapindales; Rutaceae.
AUCAAGGUUAUGGGUACGGUAAUUAUGGUGGAAGCAGUGGACCUUAUUCUGGUGGCUAUGGAGCUGCUGGUGGACGAGCUGGAAGUGGUGCUGGAGGAGAGAAUGAAUAUGGUGACACAAAUGGGAACUCAGGCUAUACAAAUGCAUCCUGGAGGUCUGAUUCUUCACAGACCUCAAGUGGUUACAGUGGUGGGUAUGGUGGUGCACAUUCCCGACAGGCGCAACAGCAGUGAUUGGCGAUGCCCUCAGUUUUUUUCUUUGCCUGGUGGAAGACUCAAUUUAUGAUGACAAGAGAUUGUGGGAAUGGUUGGGUUGCCUGAA